This is a non-coding RNA of Phrynosoma platyrhinos (Desert horned lizard), 72 nucleotides long. The record is from the annotation of a GenBank genome assembly. Lineage: Eukaryota; Metazoa; Chordata; Lepidosauria; Squamata; Phrynosomatidae.
GUCAGUGUGCUGUAGUGGUUUGAACACUGGACCAGGACUCUAGGGAUCAGGGUUCAAAAUCCCGCUCAGCCA